Molecule: ribosomal RNA, 496 nt
Filed under: uncultured bacterium
Lineage: Bacteria
Description: partial 16S ribosomal RNA
Rfam family: Bacterial small subunit ribosomal RNA
Source: RNAcentral
GAUGAACGCUGGCGGCGUGCCUAAUACAUGCAAGUCGAGCGAACAGACGAGGAGCUUGCUCCUCUGACGUUAGCGGCGGACGGGUGAGUAACACGUGGAUAACCUACCUAUAAGACUGGGAUAACUUCGGGAAACCGGAGCUAAUACCGGAUAAUAUAUUGAACCGCAUGGUUCAAUAGUGAAAGACGGUUUUGCUGUCACUUAUAGAUGGAUCCGCGCCGCAUUAGCUAGUUGGUAAGGUAACGGCUUACCAAGGCGACGAUGCGUAGCCGACCUGAGAGGGUGAUCGGCACACCAUGAAAGAGACCCCGGGCCAACUCCCUACGGGAGGCAGGAUGAGGGAACCUUCCGCAAUGGGCGAAAGCCUUACGGAGCAACCCCGCGGGGUUGAUGAAGGUUUUCGGAUCGUAAAACCCUUUUAUUAGGGAAAAACAAAUGUUUAAGUAACUAGGCCCUUCUUGACGGUACCUAAUCAGAAAGCCCCGGCUAACUACGU